CCUAAACUCAUUUUUGAAAGAUCCCUCUGUAAACACGUUGCCAGGUUACGCACAAUCUAUUAAUAGGAACACCUCAUCUUCCUCUGUGUAAGGCUUUCCUUCGUUUUACUCACUGGCUCUGUAGUGAGAGACACCUGAACAGUCUCCAACUCCUGUCCCUGCAAUGAAUUCUGAUCCUCUUUUCUCAUCAGGACAUUUUAAAAAUUGACUCCUAGUAUUUGAAUAUAUUUAUUGAGCACACAAUAAUUGUUUGAUGCAUGCAUAUAAAUAUGUAAUAAUCAUAUACUAGUAAUUAGCUUUGCUUUUUUAAAAAAGAUUUAUUUUAUGUGUAUGAAUGUUUUGCCUGCAGGUUUGUAUGUAUAUCACACGUGUACUUGGUGCUUACAGAGGCCAAAAGAGACAUCAGAUCCCCUGGAACUGGAUAGUUGUGAGCUGCCAUGUUGGUGCUAGGAGCCAAACCCAGGUCCUCUGCAAGAGCAGCAGGUGCUCUUGCUGAGCCAUCUGUAAGCAGUUGGUUCUCUCCCACCCACUAGUUCCAGAAUAACCACUCAGAGGCUUAUAUUAAUUAUAAAUGCUUGGUUGAUGGCUCAGCCUUGUUGCUAACUAGCUUUUAUACUUAAAUUAACCUAUAAUUCUUAUCUAUGUUUAGCCAUGUGGCUUAGUACCUUUUCUAGUACAACAUUCUCAUCUAGCUUCCUCUGCAUCUGACUGGCAACAGCCUGACUUUCUCACCUAACUUCCUGCCCAGCUACCAGCCUGUCAGCUUUUUAUUAACCAAUGAGAGUAAUAAGUAUUCAUAGUGUAGGAAAGGAUUGUUCCACAGCAGCCAUCUCUCUAGCCCCAGUAAUUAGAAUUUCCAUUUCCUUAAAUGUUAUUUCUAUGUGUUUGUGUACUUGAGUUGAUUCUUAUCUAUUUACUUAGAAAUAUGUCAUAAACUGCUAUAGAUGUAUGUUACUCAGCUGUAUAGUAAACACUGGAACUAAUUUUCUCAUCCAGCCAUAUCUUGGUACUCACUGUUAAUCUUUUUCUAUUUCUUCUCUCCUUUCUUCUGCCUUCCAAGUCUCUAAUGGUGACUAUUUUCAUCUCUCCUGUGAAUAUUUUUGUUGUUUUCCAAUUUUCUUGAGUGAGAGAGAACAUGCAUUGGAUAUAUUCUGUGCUUGGUUUAUUUCACUUAACAUGAUUGAACUAUGUAUUUCAAAUGAUAGGACUUAAUUAUUUCACAUUUUGAAAAAAUAAAAUAUGAAUGAAUUAGAAAUGAAUAAAAAUAAUUUUUAUUUACAUGUUUCACAUGUGAUUCCUUUGCUGUCCAUCCUGGCCUCUGAAGUCAAGGUUUCUUAAGCUAGUCCUUUCUCAGAGAGUGGAUUCUUAGUCCAGUUGUGCCAUCAAUCCAUAGUUACUUUACCUCUGUACAAGUUAAGGGCAGACACACUCAUAACAACUCCAGAGGAGGUCUUUGUCAUCCCAUUUCUUCGAACAGUUUCCUCUGGCAACCACUUUAAGGAUGAUCUGCCUCUUACUUGCUGACAUUCUAUCUGUCUCUUCAGAGUGAGUCCAGAUCACACUCCUUCCUAUUAUAUGCAGAUCACUAUGGAGCUGUACAUUGGAUGCACCAAUAUCACACUGAAAGAAUUGUUCACAAUAAGACCUGUACCUUUAACUCCCAACCUCGUGUUCUAGACAAGCUUCGUGAUCAGCACCAUCAUCACUCUGAUUCAUCUUGUGUGUCAUAUUCCUUCUUAUCUAUUGAAACUUCUUCUGUACUGAAGCUCUGGGCUGCAGAAGAGGGUUUGUUUUUCUGUCUGUCUUCCAUGCCUUUCUCUACUUAUAUGUGUCUUUGUUCCUUCUUUUUAUAUACACAUAUUUGUGCUAUCUUUUCUUUAUCUAGUUAUUCAUUGAUUCUAUAUCUUGGUUGUUGUGAAUAGUGCUGCAAUUAAAACAUGAGUGUAAAUAUCCCUGAUAGAGUGUAGCCUGUAACUCUGUGGGCUCUGGUGACAGAGCUUGAGCGUCAUUAAAAGGCAGUGGUAUGAGUUGCUUUUUGUAUAAUUUCAUUUGCUGGGUUUGGCGACUGCUAAUUCUGUUGAGGAUUUUGUGGUUGUAUCAAUGAGGGUCACUGAUCUGCCAUUGUCCUGUGCAAUUCUUGUGCAGCUUUGGUACCCCAGGAAGAGUCUCAUAAUAAGUGGUUGCCAUGCUCCCCGCUGUUAUUUUCUGAAGGAAUUUUUGGAGUUGGUAUUAUUUCUUCAUUAAACAUUUGACAGAACUCAUGAGUGAGACCAUCUGGAGUUCUUGUGGUCUGGAGAUCAACAAGUCCUAUAAUCUGUGCUAUGCAAGAAGCUGAGGCAGGAGGAUUACAAGAUCAAGGUCUGGCUGGGCUUUGAUCAAGAUUAGCCCGAGUAACUUGGACCUGUGGAGAUCUCAGGUUGGCUGCUGCCGGGUUUACCAUCUAGACUGUACCACUGGCCUCUGGAGUUAACGCUAGGCUCAUCUCUCCAAGCCAUACUCAUGGUGGAAGAAGGGAAGCAGAGACUGUGGUCAGGACCUGGGGGCAUUCGGAACAGUGGCACCACCUCAAGGAAUCAUCAGAGAGCUUCUAGCUCUCCUCUGGUCCUGCAGAUAGAACAUAAUACUGCCUUAUUUGUGACUGCCGUCAUUUCCAUGGCAACCAACCCAUGGCCCAGUCCGAGUUAAGUGAAUACUAUUUGAAGGAGAGGCUAGGAAAAACCUGUGUCAAAUUCCUAAGACCUGCUCAUUCUUCACUCUCUUCUCCCUGCCACAAGAAUACCCAGUUCAGCCCUCCCUUUUCUAGCCUAUUGCACUGGCUGGUUUUGUGUGCCAACUGGACACAAGCUAGAGUCACCAGAGAGGAAGGAGCUUCAGUUGAGGAGAUGCCUCCAUGAGAUCCAGCUAUCCCACUUUCCCACGUGGCUUGGGUGGACAAAGGCGGGGUCCUUGACACCCCUCUGAGCACUAAGUGUCUGUGUCUGGACUUCUCAGCAGUCACAUCUUCGCUCCUCCCAGGCAUCCUCACACCCUCAUUUCAGCUACACCUGGCGAGGGCAGCCACAGGACGUGGAGGCAGGCUGUGCCCAGCCUGAGCACCCGCUGCUCAGAACCUCCAUAGGACACACUGUGAAGGCUCUGGAAAGAGGCACUUGACCUUUUCUUGUAUCAGAAGAGAAAAGCACUGGGGCCAGGAUCCGAAUGAAAGCAGGUUCUAGCUGGAGGGGGUCACCUUUGCCCUCGGAAAGAAAAGGAAGCAUUUGAAGAGGCAGGAAAGCAUCUCUUCAUUAUCAAACCCCAGCGGGACUUCAUGAUAAUUUUUAUAACUUCUUCAUUCAAAAUUCUGGGUGCUAUGAAGGUUAAUAACUUGUGUUUAUUGAAACUUCCCUUCAAGGAACAGAGAACUCUGCAGGCAUUAUCUAAUUCAGAGUUACCACAGAACAGGGAAGCAGGAUGGGGUAGGGGUUGGGCAGACACAAACAGUCCCGUCCUGGAAAACUGAAAAUAUUAAUAGCUCCAAGGAGAGUUUAAGUGAGUUUUAGAAAAUUGCAAGGUGAGUUUAAGUCAUCCAGGAAGACAGAGCUCUAAAGCGAGAUUUUCUUAUCUGUGAAUGGGGCACAAGUCCUCUUUAUUGAUAUUGCUUUGGAAUUUAUCAAGCUGGAGAAAGGAACUCCAACAUCAAGAUUAACAUAUGAAAGAAGUCAAUUGACAGAGAAAGACUGGAAACUCUUCUGUAAGAUGAAUUGCUAAACGGUCUUAUAAAUAAAAAACCCAGAGCCAGAUAUUGGGGUUAAAAGAGAUCAGAAAAGCAGAAAGAAGCCAGCCAUGUUCUUACCACUUGAAAAUCCUCAGCCAAAGAGAGCUACUUCCUGUAUACCCAGGCCUAUAUGCCUUUCUGUUCUGCUAUCUCACUUCCGCUCUCUGCCCAGCUCUGUUACUUCCUGUCUGUCUGUACAGACCUCCGGACCUUUAUGGUUAACUAGUGUUGGAACUGAAGGUGCGUGAUAACAUGCUCUGUUCCCAGUGCGGCCUUGAACUCACAGAGAUCAGGAUGGAUCUCUGCCUCCCUAAUGCUAGGAUUAAAGGCAUGUGGUCCCAUUGCCUGACUUCUAUGUUUAAUAUAGUGGCUGGCUUUUUCCUCUGAUCCUCAGAUAAGCAUUAUUAGGGUGCACAGUAUAUUGGGGGACACAAUGUAUCACCACACUCUUCCUUACCUGGGCUUCCUGUAACAUGCAGAACAUGCUUGAGAAAAGCAAGAGAAGGUAGAUAAAGUGUCAAGAGCCUCUGGCUCAGUGCUUUUCAGUGGAUCUGUGCUCUUCCCCAGCUCGCUCGCCCACUGCUGUUCUUGAGUGAGUUUCCUUUCUUAAUAAAAGAUCAUUUUUUAAAACA
Long non-coding RNA from Peromyscus californicus insignis, 4386 nucleotides. RefSeq lists it as uncharacterized. The record is from RefSeq and is a predicted model, not a curated record. Lineage: Eukaryota; Metazoa; Chordata; Mammalia; Rodentia; Cricetidae. The transcript has 7 exons.